AUCUGGUAUAAAAACAUAGUGUAUUUCUCUGCCAGAAAGUCGGAAAUACACUAUGUUUUAUACCAGAUGAGC
Molecule: microRNA precursor, 72 nt
Filed under: Ciona intestinalis (vase tunicate)
Lineage: Eukaryota; Metazoa; Chordata; Ascidiacea; Phlebobranchia; Cionidae
Description: miRNA (ENSCING00000023428.1)
Source: RNAcentral